AGAAGACAUACAAAUUUAUCGAUGGCCUGGAUAGACUAUCGCAAGGCAUAUGAUAUGGUACCUCAUUCUUGGAUAGUGGAAUGUAUGAGUAUGUUCAAAAUCGCAGCAAAUGUGAGAACGUUUGUGGAAAGUAGUAUGGAGAACUGGAAAACGGAGUUAACAUCUUCGGGAGAAAGUCUUGGAAAUGUAAAUUUAAGACGAGGUAUUUUUCAAGGAGAUAGUUUAUCUCCAUUGAUAUUUGUGAUGUGCAUGAUACCAUUAAGCUUGAUACUGAGAAAGGAAAAGGUAGGGUAUGAAUUUCGCGGAAAAGAACUCAAAAUCAACCAUCUUCUGUUCAUGGAUGAUCUGAAGUUGUUUGGAAAGAACAAGGAGCAAAUAGACUCACUGGUGAAAACUGUCCAUAUUGUUAGCAAAGACAUUGGAAUGGAAUUUGGGAUAAUGAAAUGUGGAAUGCUUGUAAUGAAAAGAGGAAAGAUUGUGGAAUGUAAUGGAAUACAGCUACCUGAUGAGGAAACAAUAAAGUCCGUAGAAGAAGAUGGAUAUAAAUAUCUUGGUAUACUGGAAUUAGAUAAAAUUAUGGAGGGUGAAAUGAAGAGAAAGUUUGUAAAGGAAUACGGGAGGAGAUUAAGAUUGGUGCUGAAAUCAAAACUGAAUGGCAGAAACAAAAUCAUGGCGAUGAAUACUUGGGCUGUUGCGCUGCUGAGGUACGGAGCUGGUGUUUUGAAAUGGACAAAAGAUGAAAUUGCUGCAAUGGAUCGCAAAACACGUAAACUGAUGACACUGUAUGGUGCUCUUCACCCAAGAAGUGACAUUCAUCGAUUAUAUUUACCGAGAGAAAAGGGCGGAAGAGGUUUGAUCAGUUGUGAAGGAUGCAUUCGUACAGAGGAGAACAGUUUGGGAUGGUAUGUAAAGAACAGUGUGGAACCACUUUUACAACAAGUUGCAAAGACAGGUGUGAUUGAAACGGAAAGAUGCGAAAGAAAAGAAAAUUUUAAGAAGAAAGCAGUAGAGGAGCUAGAGAAAGCUUGGAUUGACAAGAAAAUGUAUGGACAAUAUAACAGAGAUUUAGGUAAAGAAGUGGAUAGGGAGAAGACAUGGUGGUGGCUGAAGAAAGGAGACUUGAAACCUGAGACUGAAGCACUUCUUUGUGCUGCACAAGAACAAGCUCUAAGGACAAAUUAUGUAAAGUUUCACAUAGAUAGAACUGUCGAGUCUCCACUCUGUAGGCUUUGUGGGGAAAAGGGAGAGGAUAUAACACACUUGAUAAGUGAAUGCAAAAAGCUAGCACAAAAAGAAUACAAACGAAGACAUGACAAUGUGGCUCGCAUUGUACACUGGAAGCUAUGUGGUUUGUACCAACUAGAGAAAGCUGAAAAAUGGUAUGAACACCAACCAAAUGGAG
This is a non-coding RNA of Paramuricea clavata, 1402 nucleotides long. NCBI's taxonomy places the organism in Eukaryota, Metazoa, Cnidaria, Anthozoa, Malacalcyonacea, Plexauridae. The record is from the annotation of a GenBank genome assembly.